RNAcentral lists this ribosomal RNA (460 nucleotides) under uncultured bacterium. RNAcentral's name for it is "partial 16S ribosomal RNA". It matches the Rfam family "Bacterial small subunit ribosomal RNA", at positions 338 to 795 of the family's 1533-position model. The record is from RNAcentral.
CCUACGGGAGGCAGCAGUGAGGAAUAUUGGUCAAUGGACGAGAGUCUGAACCAGCCAAGUAGCGUGAAGGAUGACUGCCCUAUGGGUUGUAAACUUCUUUUAUAUGGGAAUAAAAUGUUCCACGUGUGGGAUUUUGUAUGUACCAUAUGAAUAAGGAUCGGCUAACUCCGUGCCAGCAGCCGCGGUAAUACGGAGGAUCCGAGCAUUAUCCGGAUUUAUUGGGUUUAAAGGGAGCGUAGGUGGAUUGUUAAGUCAGUUGUGAAAGUUUGCGGCUCAACCGUAAGAUUGCAGUUGAAACUGGCAGUCUUGAGUACAGUAGAGGUGGGCGGAAUUCGUGGUGUAGCGGUGAAAUGCUUAGAUAUCACGAAGAACUCCGAUUGCGAAGGCAGUUCACUGGACUGCAACUGACACUGAGGCUCGAAAGUGUGGGUAUCAAACAGGAUUAGAUACCCUAGUAGUC